GAUGGAUGGAUGGAUAAAGAAAGUGCAGGGCUGGUAUUCUGCUCAGCUGCAGUUGCUUUAUAAUGCAAUUAGAGAGCUCCUGGAAGCACUAAUUGGAUCAUAAAGUGCCUUCUUCAUGUUCCAGCUGAGGAGAGAGGAAAAAAGGAUCACUUCACGUCCUCUUUGCACCUGCUAAGAUGUUUGUGAAACACCUUACAAUUAAAUUAUAAGCACCUAGAGGAGACUUUAAAUUGCAUACUAGAGAGCUAGAACCUUGACACAGACAUCAGAAUUCACAAACUGAAAGCUUACAAAAGCCUCAUAUCCACCUUCUGGUACUUUUCUACCUCCUGAGGUGGAAAGAGACCUUUGUUUUCCAUUGCCUUGAGUUCUUAAUAUUCCCUCUCAAAACAUUGGUCUAAGUAUAUCCUGAGCUAACAGCAA
This 423-nucleotide long non-coding RNA is filed under the name Zonotrichia albicollis (white-throated sparrow). RNAcentral's name for it is "lncRNA (ENSZALG00000014604.1)". The record is from RNAcentral. Lineage: Eukaryota; Metazoa; Chordata; Aves; Passeriformes; Passerellidae.